This 69-nucleotide transfer RNA is filed under the name Neodrepanis coruscans (wattled asity). RNAcentral's name for it is "tRNA-Phe". It matches the Rfam family "tRNA". From Rfam's summary of the family: Transfer RNA (tRNA) molecules are approximately 80 nucleotides in length. Their secondary structure includes four short double-helical elements and three loops (D, anti-codon, and T loops). Lineage: Eukaryota; Metazoa; Chordata; Aves; Passeriformes; Philepittidae. The record is from RNAcentral.
GUCCUCGUAGCUUAUACUCAAAGCAUAACGCUGAAGACGUUAAGACAGAUGCCAAUGCAUCCAAGGACA